This is a long non-coding RNA of Lemur catta (Ring-tailed lemur), 124 nucleotides long. RefSeq lists it as uncharacterized. Lineage: Eukaryota; Metazoa; Chordata; Mammalia; Primates; Lemuridae. The transcript is spliced from 3 exons. The record is from RefSeq and is a predicted model, not a curated record.
UUCAGAUCCAGGAGAUGCUCUACAAGACACAGAUAAUCUUACCUGAGAAGAAUCCUAGAGGAGGAGAAGAAAGAGGAAGAAAUGACUGGUUCUCAGGUCUUGCUGCCUCUAAGCCAGAACUGAU